GCGGGGUGAGGUAGUAGGUUGUGUGGUUUCCGGGCAGUGAUGUCGGCCCUCGGAAGAUAACUAUACAACCUACUGCCUUCCCCGA
RNAcentral lists this microRNA precursor (85 nucleotides) under Chinchilla lanigera (long-tailed chinchilla). RNAcentral describes it as "miRNA (ENSCLAG00000021928.1)". It matches the Rfam family "let-7 microRNA precursor family". Rfam says of the family: This family represents the microRNAs (miRNA) let-7 and mir-98. let-7 was identified from a study of developmental timing in C. elegans, and was later shown to be part of a much larger class of non-coding RNAs termed miRNAs. The extents of the hairpin precursors are not generally known and are estimated based on hairpin prediction. The products are thought to have regulatory roles through complementarity to mRNA. The record is from Rfam by way of RNAcentral. Lineage: Eukaryota; Metazoa; Chordata; Mammalia; Rodentia; Chinchillidae.